Long non-coding RNA from Eleginops maclovinus (Patagonian blennie), 1187 nucleotides. RefSeq lists it as uncharacterized. The transcript has 5 exons. NCBI's taxonomy places the organism in Eukaryota, Metazoa, Chordata, Actinopteri, Perciformes, Eleginopidae. The record is from RefSeq and is a predicted model, not a curated record.
GAUUCAUAGCAUUUAUGUGUAGGCCUAACCAGUAGAUGGCACUGUCAGCUAAGCAAUGCAGGUAGACCUCGUGUAAGCGCCAGUUAGAGCAAAGCCCUUGAUGGAGCAGAUGGAUGGGUGAAAGCAAGCAGACAUCUCCUUCGUGACUUAUAGGUAGGUUUUCAAAUAUUUCCUCUUCAGUAGGCUACUAUGUGAAUGGCAUUUCAAUUACUAGAAUUUUUUUUUUGCGUGAUGUAUAGAGAAUAGUUUAGUGUAAAUUUCAUAUUGAAAGAGCUUGCUAGCGUGCUAACGUAUUAGCAGCUAAACGUAGCAUCAGCCUAGAACUAUGGGCAAAUUGUGUGUGAUAUCAUUCAUAUGUAAGGUAUUAUUCGGGCAUACAGGCUCAGUGACUAUCAGACUAUUUGGUUAUCGGAUUAUUGCACUACUGAAUGCUUACUGAAUACUGAAUAACCUUUUUUUAACCUCAUCCCACAGAAUUUUCCUAACAUUGGCGCCAAAAUCAUAGGCGAAAUGGUUGACCGAGACUUGGUCACAGCCAUUCAGACGGCUGUCGCCUCUGGAAUAAGGUCUGCUUUGUCAUCUAUGCCGACAACAUCAGCAACAGCUGGACUGUCAACCUCAGCCACAACCUCGGCUACCACUGCAGUAAGACUAGUACCCCUUCCAUCAGUCCCUCAGAACAGCUGGGGUACAAAUCGAAGGACUCGUCAGAGGCAGAGAACGUACACAAAAGACGUGAUCUGUUUGCCAUUUAGUACAGCAACAACAAUGAACAUCCCAAGAGGUCAUUCCCGCAAUAAUUUAGCAGAAUCAGGUCUUAUUGGGAAAAUUUCUUUUGGGUCUGACUGGUCUGAAUUACAGCUACGUGCUGAAAUAUCAGCCAUUUUCAGAAGCAGCUUUGGGCUGGCAGAGAAUCAAAUGCUGCCAUUUGAAUACCUGGGAACUAUAAAAGGCAGUAAGAAAUUAAUGAAACCAAAAGUCACCAGGUCCUUCCCAUGGGGAGGUAAGGAGGUGGCCUCUAUCUGCUCUCAAACAUGCCUGUAUGUAUUGGCUGGAAUACACAAACCCAAUCAGGACGAAAUCAUUGAUGUCCCUGAUGAUGAUGAUGAUGAUGACGAUGAUUUCCAAAUGCCACAAAGAAGACAACUGCGCCAGAGAGAGCCUUUGCCUACAAGGGAAACUCCGCA